GGGUUGUGAGGUUAAGCGACUAAGCGUACACGGUGGAUGCCCUGGCAGUCAGAGGCGAUGAAGGACGUGCUAAUCUGCGAUAAGCGUCGGUGAGGUGAUAUGAACCGUUAUAACCGGCGAUUUCCGAAUGGGGAAACCCAGUGUGUUUCGACACACUAUCAUUAACUGAAUCCAUAGGUUAAUGAGGCGAACCGGGGGAACUGAAACAUCUAAGUACCCCGAGGAAAAGAAAUCAACCGAGAUUCCCCCAGUAGCGGCGAGCGAACGGGGAGGAGCCCAGAGCCUGAAUCAGUGUGUGUGUUAGUGGAAGCGUCUGGAAAGGCGCGCGAUACAGGGUGACAGCCCCGUACACAAAAAUGCACAUAUUGUGAGCUCGAUGAGUAGGGCGGGACACGUGGUAUCCUGUCUGAAUAUGGGGGGACCAUCCUCCAAGGCUAAAUACUCCUGACUGACCGAUAGUGAACCAGUACCGUGAGGGAAAGGCGAAAAGAACCCCGGCGAGGGGAGUGAAAAAGAACCUGAAACCGUGUACGUACAAGCAGUGGGAGCCUCUUUAUGGGGUGACUGCGUACCUUUUGUAUAAUGGGUCAGCGACUUAUAUUCUGUAGCAAGGUUAACCGAAUAGGGGAGCCGAAGGGAAACCGAGUCUUAACUGGGCGUUAAGUUGCAGGGUAUAGACCCGAAACCCGGUGAUCUAGCCAUGGGCAGGUUGAAGGUUGGGUAACACUAACUGGAGGACCGAACCGACUAAUGUUGAAAAAUUAGCGGAUGACUUGUGGCUGGGGGUGAAAGGCCAAUCAAACCGGGAGAUAGCUGGUUCUCCCCGAAAGCUAUUUAGGUAGCGCCUCGUGAAUUCAUCUCCGGGGGUAGAGCACUGUUUCGGCAAGGGGGUCAUCCCGACUUACCAACCCGAUGCAAACUGCGAAUACCGGAGAAUGUUAUCACGGGAGACACACGGCGGGUGCUAACGUCCGUCGUGAAGAGGGAAACAACCCAGACCGCCAGCUAAGGUCCCAAAGUCAUGGUUAAGUGGGAAACGAUGUGGGAAGGCCCAGACAGCCAGGAUGUUGGCUUAGAAGCAGCCAUCAUUUAAAGAAAGCGUAAUAGCUCACUGGUCGAGUCGGCCUGCGCGGAAGAUGUAACGGGGCUAAACCAUGCACCGAAGCUGCGGCAGCGACACUAUGUGUUGUUGGGUAGGGGAGCGUUCUGUAAGCCUGUGAAGGUGGCCUGUGAGGGUUGCUGGAGGUAUCAGAAGUGCGAAUGCUGACAUAAGUAACGAUAAAGCGGGUGAAAAGCCCGCUCGCCGGAAGACCAAGGGUUCCUGUCCAACGUUAAUCGGGGCAGGGUGAGUCGACCCCUAAGGCGAGGCCGAAAGGCGUAGUCGAUGGGAAACAGGUUAAUAUUCCUGUACUUGGUGUUACUGCGAAGGGGGGACGGAGAAGGCUAUGUUGGCCGGGCGACGGUUGUCCCGGUUUAAGCGUGUAGGCUGGUUUUCCAGGCAAAUCCGGAAAACCAAGGCUGAGGCGUGAUGACGAGGCACUACGGUGCUGAAGCGACAAAUGCCCUGCUUCCAGGAAAAGCCUCUAAGCAUCAGGUAACAUCAAAUCGUACCCCAAACCGACACAGGUGGUCAGGUAGAGAAUACCAAGGCGCUUGAGAGAACUCGGGUGAAGGAACUAGGCAAAAUGGUGCCGUAACUUCGGGAGAAGGCACGCUGAUAUGUAGGUGAAGCGACUUGCUCGUGGAGCUGAAAUCAGUCGAAGAUACCAGCUGGCUGCAACUGUUUAUUAAAAACACAGCACUGUGCAAACACGAAAGUGGACGUAUACGGUGUGACGCCUGCCCGGUGCCGGAAGGUUAAUUGAUGGGGUUAGCGGUAACGCGAAGCUCUUGAUCGAAGCCCCGGUAAACGGCGGCCGUAACUAUAACGGUCCUAAGGUAGCGAAAUUCCUUGUCGGGUAAGUUCCGACCUGCACGAAUGGCGUAAUGAUGGCCAGGCUGUCUCCACCCGAGACUCAGUGAAAUUGAACUCGCUGUGAAGAUGCAGUGUACCCGCGGCAAGACGGAAAGACCCCGUGAACCUUUACUAUAGCUUGACACUGAACAUUGAGCCUUGAUGUGUAGGAUAGGUGGGAGGCUUUGAAGUGUGGACGCCAGUCUGCAUGGAGCCGACCUUGAAAUACCACCCUUUAAUGUUUGAUGUUCUAACGUUGGCCCGUAAUCCGGGUUGCGGACAGUGUCUGGUGGGUAGUUUGACUGGGGCGGUCUCCUCCUAAAGAGUAACGGAGGAGCACGAAGGUUGGCUAAUCCUGGUCGGACAUCAGGAGGUUAGUGCAAUGGCAUAAGCCAGCUUGACUGCGAGCGUGACGGCGCGAGCAGGUGCGAAAGCAGGUCAUAGUGAUCCGGUGGUUCUGAAUGGAAGGGCCAUCGCUCAACGGAUAAAAGGUACUCCGGGGAUAACAGGCUGAUACCGCCCAAGAGUUCAUAUCGACGGCGGUGUUUGGCACCUCGAUGUCGGCUCAUCACAUCCUGGGGCUGAAGUAGGUCCCAAGGGUAUGGCUGUUCGCCAUUUAAAGUGGUACGCGAGCUGGGUUUAGAACGUCGUGAGACAGUUCGGUCCCUAUCUGCCGUGGGCGCUGGAGAACUGAGGGGGGCUGCUCCUAGUACGAGAGGACCGGAGUGGACGCAUCACUGGUGUUCGGGUUGUCAUGCCAAUGGCACUGCCCGGUAGCUAAAUGCGGAAGAGAUAAGUGCUGAAAGCAUCUAAGCACGAAACUUGCCCCGAGAUGAGUUCUCCCUGACUCCUUGAGAGUCCUGAAGGAACGUUGAAGACGACGACGUUGAUAGGCCGGGUGUGUAAGCGCAGCGAUGCGUUGAGCUAACCGGUACUAAUGAACCGUGAGGCUUAACCUUACAAC
This 2918-nucleotide ribosomal RNA is filed under the name Escherichia coli. RNAcentral's name for it is "partial 23S ribosomal RNA". It matches the Rfam family "Bacterial large subunit ribosomal RNA". Lineage: Bacteria; Pseudomonadati; Pseudomonadota; Gammaproteobacteria; Enterobacterales; Enterobacteriaceae. The record is from RNAcentral.